This 1757-nucleotide ribosomal RNA is filed under the name Salmonella enterica. RNAcentral's name for it is "partial 23S ribosomal RNA". It matches the Rfam family "Bacterial large subunit ribosomal RNA", at positions 1 to 1781 of the family's 2925-position model. The record is from RNAcentral. Lineage: Bacteria; Pseudomonadati; Pseudomonadota; Gammaproteobacteria; Enterobacterales; Enterobacteriaceae.
GGGUUGUGAGGUUAAGCGACUAAGCGUACACGGUGGAUGCCCUGGCAGUCAGAGGCGAUGAAGGGCGUGCUAAUCUGCGAUAAGCGCCGGUAAGGUGAUAUGAACCGUUAUAACCGGCGAUACCCGAAUGGGGAAACCCAGUGUGACUCGUCACACUAUCAUUAACUGAAUCCAUAGGUUAAUGAGGCGAACCGGGGGAACUGAAACAUCUAAGUACCCCGAGGAAAAGAAAUCAACCGAGAUUCCCCCAGUAGCGGCGAGCGAACGGGGAGGAGCCCAGAGCCUGAAUCAGCAUGUGUGUUAGUGGAAGCGUCUGGAAAGGCGCGCGAUACAGGGUGACAGCCCCGUACACAAAAGCGCAUGUGCUGUGAGCUCGAUGAGUAGGGCGGGACACGUGGUAUCCUGUCUGAAUAUGGGGGGACCAUCCUCCAAGGCUAAAUACUCCUGACUGACCGAUAGUGAACCAGUACCGUGAGGGAAAGGCGAAAAGAACCCCGGCGAGGGGAGUGAAAAAGAACCUGAAACCGUGUACGUACAAGCAGUGGGAGCACAGGUUUACCUGUGUGACUGCGUACCUUUUGUAUAAUGGGUCAGCGACUUAUAUUCUGUAGCAAGGUUAACCGAAUAGGGGAGCCGGAGGGAAACCGAGUCUUAACCGGGCGUUAAGUUGCAGGGUAUAGACCCGAAACCCGGUGAUCUAGCCAUGGGCAGGUUGAAGGUUGGGUAACACUAACUGGAGGACCGAACCGACUAAUGUUGAAAAAUUAGCGGAUGACCUGUGGCUGGGGGUGAAAGGCCAAUCAAACCGGGAGAUAGCUGGUUCUCCCCGAAAGCUAUUUAGGUAGCGCCUCGUGAACUCAUCUCCGGGGGUAGAGCACUGUUUCGGCUAGGGGGCCAUCCCGGCUUACCAACCCGAUGCAAACUGCGAAUACCGGAGAAUGUUAUCACGGGAGACACACGGCGGGUGCUAACGUCCGUCGUGAAGAGGGAAACAACCCAGACCGCCAGCUAAGGUCCCAAAGUCAUGGUUAAGUGGGAAACGAUGUGGGAAGGCCCAGACAGCCAGGAUGUUGGCUUAGAAGCAGCCAUCAUUUAAAGAAAGCGUAAUAGCUCACUGGUCGAGUCGGCCUGCGCGGAAGAUGUAACGGGGCUAAACCAUGCACCGAAGCUGCGGCAGCGACACUGUGUGUUGUUGGGUAGGGGAGCGUUCUGUAAGCCUGUGAAGGUGUGUCGUGAGGCAUGCUGGAGGUAUCAGAAGUGCGAAUGCUGACAUAAGUAACGAUAAAGCGGGUGAAAAGCCCGCUCGCCGGAAGACCAAGGGUUCCUGUCCAACGUUAAUCGGGGCAGGGUGAGUCGACCCCUAAGGCGAGGCCGAAAGGCGUAGUCGAUGGGAAACGGGUUAAUAUUCCCGUACUUGGUGUUACUGCGAAGGGGGGACGGAGAAGGCUAUGUUGGCCGGGCGACGGUUGUCCCGGUUUAAGCGUGUAGGUGUGUGUUCCAGGUAAAUCCGGUUCACUUUAACACUGAGGCGUGAUGACGAGGCACUACGGUGCUGAAGCAACAAAUGCCCUGCUUCCAGGAAAAGCCUCUAAGCAUCAGGUAACAUCAAAUCGUACCCCAAACCGACACAGGUGGUCAGGUAGAGAAUACCAAGGCGCUUGAGAGAACUCGGGUGAAGGAACUAGGCAAAAUGGUGCCGUAACUUCGGGAGAAGGCACGCUGACACGUAGGUGAAGUGAUUUACUCAUGGAGCUGAA